CUCCCUAGGGAGGUGUUUAGGGCACGUCCAACCGGUAGGAGGCCACGGGGAAGACCCAGGACACGUUGGGAAGACUAUGUCUCCCGGCUGGCCUGGGAACGCCUCGAGAUCCUCCGGGAAGAGCUAGACGAAGUGGCUGGGGAGAGGGAAGUCUGGGUUUCUCUGCUUAGGCUGUUGCCCCCGCGACCUGACCUCGGAGGGCGGAAGAAGAUGGAUGGAAAACUUUUGUUACUGUACCCAAUUCAGGUGUACCUAAUGAAGUGUCCAUUCAGUGUACAUUUGUCCCUAGCGCAUCAACAUUUUCGGUCAGUGUGGCGUAACCUGACCCCGUUUGCAUUUCGUACCCUUGACUGUCCAGAAUGCAACCUGAGUGCCAGGAUGUGGAGGAAGGAGGCGGUCGUAUCCGCUCAUGGUCGUCCUGCAUCUGAAGCCUGAUUGGACGACGCAGGCCCCAAAAGAUGUUCAAUAGGCCUUCAACGAUCAGCUCGCCCUCUUCCUGGCAGCAUGAGAGGCACUGGGAGGAGAAACAAACCACAGAGUUGAUCAUUUUCAGCAGAGUCUUGUGAUUACUCAUGACCAAGCAGAAGCCAGCACAGAUGUGAAGACCAGGGCAAACAACACUAGAGUGAUUGCAUGAAAGAAGCUUCUGUGAGGGGAAAACAGGUGCAGGACACAUGCGCAACCCGCUGAGCGAAGCCAAAGUCCUAGCAGCUGCUGCUACAUGGACAUAAGCAUCCAUCACAUGAACCUGGAAACCGGAGAGACCGAUAAGGGCCACAGUAGGGGUGAUGGUCAGAGGUCCAAUAUACUUCAAGAGGAGUCCGGGCAGACCCAGUGCCCCAAUACACACCUCCACGAGAGAAGACACAAUGAUGGCCCCUUGGAUCUGAACCGCAAGACAAUAAAGGUUGAACACACUUUUUACAUUGUUGAAUGAACAAUACCUGAGCAGUCAUAUUUACAAUGUAUAUUUAUUCGGUAGAGUCUUGAUACCAAUUUCCUUGAGCAGCCACACACAAAGAAGUUGAAGGCCUCCAUGCUUUUCUAAGUUUUCAUCAGUUAGGUCGUGUAAAAGACUUCUGGAGCACCGGAUA
This is a long non-coding RNA of Nerophis ophidion (straightnose pipefish), 1094 nucleotides long. RefSeq lists it as uncharacterized. Lineage: Eukaryota; Metazoa; Chordata; Actinopteri; Syngnathiformes; Syngnathidae. The transcript is spliced from 4 exons. The record is from RefSeq and is a predicted model, not a curated record.